UAUGUGAUCGUCUCUCGCAUAUCAAUAAGCGGAGGAAAAGAAACUAACAAGGAUUCCCCUAGUAACGGCGAGUGAAGCGGGAAGAGCUCAAAUUUGAAAUCUUAAAGGGUUUCCCUUUACGAAUUGUAGUUUAAAGAAGUGUUUUCUGUUGAGGUUUUGGUAAAAGUUCUUUGGAAUAGGACAUCAUAGAGGGUGAGAAUCCCGUAUUUGACCUUUACUUUCAACUUUGUGAUACACUUUCAAAGAGUCGGAUUGUUUGGGAAUGCAGUCCAAAAUGGGUGGUAAAUUUCAUCUAAAGCUAAAUAUUGGCGAGAGACCGAUAGCGAACAAGUACCGUGAGGGAAAGAUGAAAAGAACUUUGAAAAGAGAGUUAAACAGUACGUGAAAUUGUCAAAAGGGAAGCGUUUGACACCAGUGUUGUUUUUCUGAAAAUCAAUUAAAGAACUGUUUAUGCUAAGCUGUUUAGACUUUAUCAGCUAUCUGUUUAGUUUUGAGCUUUUCUUUAAUGCACUUUUCAGUUAACAAGUCAACAUCAAUUUCUUUUGCUGUAAAAAAGCUUGAGGAAGGUGGCUUGAGAUUCGUCUUAAGUGUUUAUAGCCUCUUGCCUAUGCAGUCGGAGAGAUUGAGGUCUGCAGCGUAGAUCCUUCGGGGCUAAAUGCAUUUGUGCUAAGUUAUAGCAUUUUAUAGACAACUUGUUGACUAUGAUUUGUCUUGUAGCUUACUCGCUUAUGUUAUUUUACCUACGCUUAGGAUGUUGAAUCUGUGCGAGACUAC
RNAcentral lists this ribosomal RNA (774 nucleotides) under uncultured Neocallimastigales. RNAcentral's name for it is "partial large subunit ribosomal RNA". It matches the Rfam family "Eukaryotic large subunit ribosomal RNA", at positions 24 to 644 of the family's 3401-position model. The record is from RNAcentral. Lineage: Eukaryota; Fungi; Neocallimastigomycota; Neocallimastigomycetes; Neocallimastigales.